This is a long non-coding RNA of Scylla paramamosain (green mud crab), 1824 nucleotides long. RefSeq lists it as uncharacterized. The record is from RefSeq and is a predicted model, not a curated record. Lineage: Eukaryota; Metazoa; Arthropoda; Malacostraca; Decapoda; Portunidae. The transcript is spliced from 3 exons.
AAAUAAAUAAAUAAAUAAAUAAAUACAGACAGAGAGGGUGAAUAGAAAUGAAAGUAAAAAAAAGAAUGUCAUAAUACAUCAUCAUUAUUAACCUGUAACAAGUAUGUCAUUACAGUGCACGACACUCCCUAAACCGCGACUCGAGCAACAAGACAGGUGCCCUACAUUCCCAGACAUCGUAUUACUGCCGUGUACCUCGGAAGAGAGCAUGAAAGUGAAUGUGAGAAGAGUGGGUGUGUGCGUGUGUGGGUGUGGCGGACUGCUUUACCCGCCACCCUCCAGCACGAGAAGGCACGGUACCGAUAUAGCACAGGAAAGCUUGUUUUGCCAAUAUUAUUUAUUUGUUUAUUUUAUUUACUUAUUUAUUUAUUUAUUAUUAUUAUUAUCAUUAUUAUUAUUAUUUUUAUUAUUAUUUUUAUUAUUAUUACUUUUUUUUCUUUUUCACGAAUGGAAAGAGAUCCGCGGUGUGCGGCAGGGCGGUAUACUUGAGGUAGUGUACAGGUUUCCAUCGCCGUCAUGUGAGUAACUCGCCGACCUUUAGCUGCAGUAUAGUAAAAUUACUUUAAUUUAUUUGAGGCUGAGGGUGCAAACUGUGACCAUUGCUACGCAACAACACUCGAUGUGUUCACCUUGAAUCGUCACCAUUCAUUCUGCGAAUCUCUCCGCAGAGUGAGAAAGCGCGGCCAGAUAUAGAAACAUCCAUUCGUGUCUGAAGAUCAGGGGCUGGCAUUAAAAUUGUCAAAGUUACAGCGGCAUAAAGAGCGCAGGCUAACCACCUGGCCUGGAACCACACACACACACCAAACAGAAAGCCAGGUGAAAGUUAGCGCCACCUGUGACGAUAUUUGCGUCACCUUGACAUAUACGCCUCCGCAUCUCUACCCCCCCACGUUCCUCCCACUGGUGGGUCGGCAGCGUGCAAGGCUAAUCUUGGCCGUCACUGAAAUUUUGCAAGGGCUCAUCAUAUGGGUAAUUUGGGCCAUGUUUUUUACUCGGCAAUUUCACAAGGAGCCUUGGUACACGAGGCUGCGGCCAGGAUGUGAUAAAAUCUGGUACUUGACGGCGAGGCAUCCCAUCCCCCGGCCACCUCACGGUCCUCUGCUGAAGACCUGAGUAGGGCAGUUUUUUUUUUUUUUCUUCUUCUUCUCCUUAAUGCAUACAGACCCAUCCAUCUUCCACGACACGAAAAAAUAAGCAUCCUCGCGCCGACACUUAUCACAGCCAGGUCUAAGUGAUGCAGAACAUACGCAGGGCGACUGCGUAUGUUCUGAAGAAGCAGUGCAAUGAAUGUGCUGUUAUGGGCUUUAAUAAACAUGAUAAACAACAUUCUUUUCUUUUUUUUUUUUUCUUUUUAGCCCGGCAGUCUGUGCCUGUAGUGGUAUCCGCUUUUCUGCGGAUAGUAAUGUUUUUGUUGAGAAACCUUAAAAUGGUACAAUGUAAAAAUGUUGAAAUAUGAAUACACAUUUGUCAAGGACUAUUCAUCAUGACGACAUUGGAAUUUACUUGCAUCAAAGCUUUUGUGAGAAUAAGAGCGAAUCUUGCAGACGCGUCCCUCGCCGUGGCAGAGAGGCAAGAGACGUAGCAGCGCGGAAGUCAGAGCAGCGUCAAAGUGGCCAGCUGAACACCUGCUGUUACGGGAAGCAGGCUGAGUGACGUCAAUGCGAGCACGGGGUGGUUUGUCCUCUGAACACGCACAGACUUCAUGCCAGGCCAUCUCUGAUGGCUGGGAUUUAUGAAGAAAAGCCGCCGCCAAUUGAGUCCUUCGUAGCGUCCAGGUCGCAGGUUCCCGCCACGCCCGAGUCUCUUUGUUCACCGGUCGCGGCG